UGGGAAACCCUGGCACUUUCCCGAG
This 25-nucleotide non-coding RNA is filed under the name Rattus norvegicus (Norway rat). The record is from RNAcentral. Lineage: Eukaryota; Metazoa; Chordata; Mammalia; Rodentia; Muridae.